AACAGGAACCUACGACUCGGUGGAAUCAGAGAUCCACUACACAGCAUAAAACUCUCCUUUUCUGUUGCUUGCAAGCUUCAAAGUCAGGCUGACUUCAAAGACAUAAUUGGAUCUGAAGAAGCAUCUGACCAGGAGCCAGCUUCACAGAGAAAAUAAAGGUGACUGGCUUGUGCCGUAAUCUCCUUCCCUGAGGUUCCUCCUGCAGUUCUGCCAGGGAUGACUGCUGCACAAAAAACGUGUCAGAUACUAAACUCUGAAGGCAAGAUUAAUGACGGAGGUCAGAAGUCACAUCAUGCUGAGUGCAGUCUGGGAAGUCCAUUCUGCAGCAGCAGGAAUUCCCCUACCUUGGAAGCAGCUGAAGCUAAGGUCAAAGAAAAAUGUAAAUUAGAUAUUCUUCAAACAAGUGGCAGAAGAGUCAUGUUUGCAAGCCCUAGACCUCAUGGUGGACUCGAGCUACCAUGAUAUCUUCUGAAAAGGCCAUGCAGCAGGGCAGUCCAGCAGGCUUCUGGAAGACACCUAGUCACUGAAAAGAGGGAUAAUACCACAUGGCAUAACUAACUGCUCACUUUAUGCAGACAGCUAGUGAAAUUCAUAUGUAAGCCUUUGAUUGAGAGCUGUUUAACAGUGUAAAAUGUGUAAAUACUACAUUCUCACUUCACAAUUGAUGAGUGAGCAGAAAAAUAAACGUCUUCAUGGUAAUUUGUUUGUCAUACAGGUAUGACUGUUCACCAUAUGAAAUGAAAUGUUUUAUAAGCUUCUGACUGUUUGGGGUUAUUUUGUUUGUUUGUUUUCAAUGUUUGUUAUACUUCAGAAUUGAAUAAAUCUGAAAGCAUCUUAUGCAGGCAAAAUAUAAUUGCUAAAGAUGGAGCUAGGACUAAGUUGUCUAUCGUCUGUCACCUACCAAUUGGAGAGGGGUCUUAGAUGGCUUUUGUCAGACCCUGAGAUCAUUCAAGUUAAGGUACAGUUAGGUGUGUUCAAUGGCACUAAAACUGUCCAUGAGGCAAUGCAUUUCAGCCUUGUGUACUGUUAGUUCUCCAAAAUAUUUGUAGACAGAAUUUCCUAGAAAUGAAUGCUGCUGUGUGUUUGUUAAUGUGUAUGAACCCAAAGGCCCCAAAGACUGUUUGGCAACUAAAAAACCUGAGGAAGAAAGGACAAAAGCAAGACUUGUCCUCCUAAUAAAUCUUUUCUUGUGAGUUGUGAA
Long non-coding RNA from Pezoporus occidentalis (night parrot), 1201 nucleotides. RefSeq lists it as uncharacterized. The transcript is spliced from 4 exons. NCBI's taxonomy places the organism in Eukaryota, Metazoa, Chordata, Aves, Psittaciformes, Psittacidae. The record is from RefSeq and is a predicted model, not a curated record.